GAAAAAGCGUUGACAGAGAAGAGUAGUCUGCGAAAGCGUCAAUCAGGGAGAAAAUGCCGGUGACUGUGAGCAUUUUUUUGACAGCAGCAGAUGAAUUCACCUCUUUAGCUGACACCAGGACCAUCCGGAGAAAUCCAGGGUGUAAAGGUGCUCCGGAUCCUAUCCGUUAUUUAUGAACGAAGUGAACAGCAGGUUCUUUUUGCUGUUAACAAGGGUGGUACCGCGACUGUCAACUCGUCCCUUUU
Molecule: non-coding RNA, 245 nt
Filed under: Metabacillus indicus
Lineage: Bacteria; Bacillati; Bacillota; Bacilli; Caryophanales; Bacillaceae
Description: Bacillus cibi T-box sequence
Rfam family: T-box leader
About the family: Uncharged tRNA acts as the effector for transcription antitermination of genes in the T-box leader family. T-boxes are found upstream of many aminoacyl-tRNA synthetase genes and some amino acid biosynthetic genes usually in Gram-positive bacteria.
Source: RNAcentral